This 521-nucleotide ribosomal RNA is filed under the name uncultured beta proteobacterium. RNAcentral describes it as "bacterial SSU rRNA". It matches the Rfam family "Bacterial small subunit ribosomal RNA", at positions 526 to 1045 of the family's 1533-position model. Lineage: Bacteria; Pseudomonadati; Pseudomonadota; Betaproteobacteria. The record is from RNAcentral.
CGUAGGGUGCAAGCGUUAAUCGGAAUUACUGGGCGUAAAGCGUGCGCAGGCGGUUUUGUAAGUCUGAUGUGAAAUCCCCGGGCUCAACCUGGGAAUUGCCUUGGAGACUGCAAGGCUAGAAUCUGGCAGAGGGGGGUAGAAUUCCACGUGUAGCAGUGAAAUGCGUAGAUAUGUGGAGGAACACCGAUGGCGAAGGCAGCCCCCUGGGUCAAGAUUGUCGCUCAUGCACGAAAGCGUGGGGAGCAAACAGGAUUAGAUACCCUGGUAGUCCACGCCCUAAACGAUGUCUACUAGUUGUCGGGUCUUAAUUGACUUGGUAACGCAGCUAACGCGUGAAGUAGACCGCCUGGGGAGUACGGUCGCAAGAUUAAAACUCAAAGGAAUGGACGGGGACCCGCACAAGCGGUGGAUGAUGUGGAUUAAUUCGAUGCAACGCGAAAAACCUUACCUACCCUUGACAUGGCUGGAAUCCCCGAGAGAUCGGGGAGUGCUCGAAAGAGAACCAGUACACAGGUGCUGCA